This is a long non-coding RNA of Lactuca sativa (garden lettuce), 1697 nucleotides long. RefSeq lists it as uncharacterized. The record is from RefSeq and is a predicted model, not a curated record. Lineage: Eukaryota; Viridiplantae; Streptophyta; Magnoliopsida; Asterales; Asteraceae.
ACGAGUGGGUAAUCUAUUGCGUCUCGCCCUCCAAAUGAGGACAUUCACUUUCCGAUCGAGGUGCUAGAUUAUUCCAAACCGUUUUGAUUGGAUUGUGAUCCAAGUAUUCACUAUCUAUGAGUCUUCACAUGGAUGAUACAGUGAACAGACCAUUGGCUUAUUUUCAAUUCUCAUCUUGAACUAUGAAGUGAUCAUUGAGGGUUAUGUUAUAUUUUCCUAAGGAUAGAGUAAUGUUAGAAAUUUUACCCCACACACCAGAUCUGUUACUUAAUGACCAAAUCUGCCCCAACCCUCCAUCGGGCCUAGGAUAGCCUCUAUCUGUUACUUGUUGAAAUAGUAAAAAAAAAAUUAUAUCAUUUGUAUUUAUAUAAAUUAUUACUAAAAAAUAUGUAAAGCUUACCACUUUAUAUUAAUUAAGAAAAAAAAAAAAAACUAAUGUAACCCACGGUCUCGUAUCUAUAUCGAGAUGAUAUUUGAACUACCAAACAUUUGAGCCUGGGAUUGCUGUGGUAAAGAUUAUAUUGUAUAAAGAGAAUCUUAAGCAGGUCCAAUCUGAGUCGCCUAAAAUUGGAUGCCAAGUCAUUGGGCCCCACUUUCCAUACACAUUUACCACUAUAUAACCUCUUCUCCUAACCCUAACCCUUUCUUCAUUCCAUCCACCCUUCAUCCUUCCCACACACGACUAGGGUUUCUCUGCCUCAAACCCAAUCAUAACAUGCCAACUGGGUUUUGCUCCUUCUUCAUCUUCUUCCGUUUCUUCUGCACAACACCUUUCAAUUUUCAAAACCACGAAAGUCAUUGGUUACUGGUGCGGCAUCUUCAAGAUUCACAUGCCAAUAUUCAACUCUAGAUAAGUUUUUGGUUAAUGGGUAAUGAGAAUCUUGAUGAUGCUGCAUCAGAAAUCAAUCGACUACAUUCCAUUUACUACGGUUGCUCUGAAUCUUAUAUAGAAAGGCUCUAACAAUAUUGUCCAAGAUAAAGAAACGGAAACAGAAACCGUAUAACGCACAUAUAUACACCUUUGCAAACUAUCUCGUUCUCUGAAGAAGAACAACACCAUUGAAUUACAGGAUCUGCUGAUAGAAAGCGGUGAAGUCAUCUAAUUCGUACUUAUUUAUUUUAAAAUGAUAUCUUCGUACUUAUUUAUUUAAAAAUCAUAUCUGGGCGUCUUUUAAAUUUUCAUAAUCUUCAUGAAUUAGUAGUUUAUAUGAGAUCAAAAGAUUUUUGUUUUUCUUUUGGUGCCUCAGUUACAGAUCUUAGGGAGCAACGAAAUUUCCUUUCUUCUUAGGCUGCCCGUGUAUGGAAAACCAUCUUACACGUCAAAGCUGACGUGGCCGACUUUCCCACGCGUAAAGGGCAUGUUCUAUUGUUCGCUUUUGAACACCAUUAAUUUCCACAACCUACUGCAAUUGUUGUGGAAUGGUGAGAUGAUGAUGUGGCUUUCUCUUCACUUCCUCUUCAUUACGUACCUUUUCACCGGUAUGUCACCGGAUAGCCUUAAAGAGAAGAAGCGCAUCUGAAAAGUUGGAUUCAUUUCGAUUGCAGUGAUCUGAUCACCAAUCUUCUGGUUAAUGUGAAUAUUGAAAUAGUGUUCAAUCUCGGCAUCUUGUUUUAUUUGCUUAUAUGUAUACAAAAGUAAAUCUAACGCACCUAAUUUGCUUAAUAUAUAAUACAAGCGUCACUAUAUUAAUUCUUAA